Molecule: long non-coding RNA, 1459 nt
Organism: Vidua macroura (Pin-tailed whydah)
Lineage: Eukaryota; Metazoa; Chordata; Aves; Passeriformes; Viduidae
Exons: 4
Source: RefSeq, a predicted model, not a curated record
CUCAUGUGGGAGCUGGGGACCAAGCGAGCUAAAGCCUAACUGGUCAGAUAUUCAUAUCUGGGGUUUUAUCCACUUUCACAGCAUUUUCCAAGAAAUAGUAGUUCUUCGCUGGAAGAGUUUGACAGAUAUUCAGACUUUGAUGAGAUGUAUAUCUAGCAUUGAUUGGAAUAGAGAAGUUUAAUAUGAUCAUAAAGCAGAAGCAUGAACUUUUGCUGUUGGUUCUGUUUGUGCAUCAUUAAAAGGGAUGGAGAAAGUCAUUAAGGAAAAAUUAAAUUGUCGUAAAUACCAGCAAUAUUUCAGUGAGGAUGCAUGUGGGUGUAUUUAAAUUGGUCAAGAUUCUCUUCAAUGUUUUCUGAGAAAUGAAGAUAGAAACUGCUGCCUCCGUGUUGCUCAACACGCCGGGCAUUUGAAAGGGCUUUUAGGUGAAUGUGGAGCCAAAGUGUCUGUCUCCGCCCACUCUCCUUUUGCCAAAGAGAAGCUGGGCAUGAACGACAGAUUGCAGCUUCAGUCCUGGAAACUGAAGUCUCUUGAGGCUUAAUCCAAAGAGCAACAACGACAUCAUGAAAGCUUGUCCUGCUCCACUGAAAAACCAAGCAGCUGACUGCAGGUGUGACUGCAGUCAGACUCCAAUGGUCAAAUUCACAGCAGAGAGAGGCUUCAGUGUGGUCAGUUGAAGCUGCCAAAGACAGAAGCACUGUAAAGCCGUGUCCUUCUCCAAGGCAGCAGCUCACCCUCCUGUACCGGUACAUGAUUCAGAAAUGAGGCAGUGACUUGGAUGGUGCACACAUGUCUCUUUUUGAUGACAAGGAAGGAAAAGGAAAUGCUGAUAGCAUCAGCCUAGCAUUCUCUCAGGAAAGACCUAAACACCAGAUCUUCCUCAACCUGAGAAGAUUUAGAGCUCAAACCCAGUGUAAGCUCUCCAGAGCAUCUAAAGCAUCUCAGGAGAAUAUCACCUGAACAAUAAUUAAGCUUCAUAGUGUGCUAACUUGGAUUUUAUCCCUAACCUCCAUUUUGUAACCUAUAAGUACUUAGCCAUUCAUUCUGCACACAUUCAGAAAUCACAGAUCAAAGCUGUGUUUCUCAGACUGGCCAGCAGCAAACCAAAUCUUUUUGGGAGGGGUGAUAAGAGAAGGAAUUGUAAUGGGGCAAAUGAUCGAAUGGCACUGGCUGCAUUUCUUUCGCUCAAGAAGCUGAUAAAAACAUUUGUCUCUAAGUCUUAUGCACAAUGAGAUACAAAUAAGUUCCAGUAAUUACAAGAGAAAGUAUUUCACAGUGGAACAAGAGGAAGAAACAAAUCUGAAAGGCAGCUGUUGCUCUGCAAGAUCAGUGUGAUUGCUACAGAAUUUCUGCUCUAAACCUUCCAGUAGAAUAUCCACACCUACACACAUGCUUGGCAUGAAACACUCCUGUGAAAGCAUUAACUCUGUAGAGAAGAAGAGGUAGGUAUGACUUUCUCUUU